This is a long non-coding RNA of Bos taurus (domestic cattle), 536 nucleotides long. Lineage: Eukaryota; Metazoa; Chordata; Mammalia; Artiodactyla; Bovidae. The record is from Ensembl.
GCAUAGUUUCAUCCUGAGGGAGCACGGAAACCAGUCCUUUCUGUUGAAUGAAGGAUUUGGUUUCCAGGAAGCCUCUGCACGUGCCAGGCUCUGGUAACUUGUUUCUUUGCAUCGAUGGUCGGCCUGUAUGUGGACACUUCUAUGACGCCUUCAUCUCCCCCCACCCACUGGAUCACCCCCUGUCUGUAUUAGCUUGGCUGUCUGACUCCUCUCCCUCUGACCUCCUGGGUGAGCUGGCCCCUCGGUUUGUCCCCAGACGCGCUCGCUCGCCCAGGAGGUGUGACUCCACCCCUGCCCUACGCCAGCCAAAGCGAAAGUCUUCCUCUUGGGGACAGCUGUCCUGUGUCCUUCAGAGGAACCCUCCUUUCCUCAUCUGCAAGGUGUGGGGCUGGCCUUGACCCCAGCCCUGGGGUGUGACACUCGAGGCCCAGAGGGGGAGGUGGGUGCCCCAGGCCCCCAUUUAGGACAUCAGGGGGCAGGCCUGGCCCCAGGCACAGCCUCUUUCUGUCCUGGGAGGCAGAAACCACAUCCCAAGA